RNAcentral lists this transfer RNA (75 nucleotides) under Staphylothermus marinus. RNAcentral's name for it is "tRNA-Glu". It matches the Rfam family "tRNA". Rfam says of the family: Transfer RNA (tRNA) molecules are approximately 80 nucleotides in length. Their secondary structure includes four short double-helical elements and three loops (D, anti-codon, and T loops). Lineage: Archaea; Thermoproteati; Thermoproteota; Thermoprotei; Desulfurococcales; Desulfurococcaceae. The record is from RNAcentral.
GCCGCCGUAGUAUAGCCCGGUCAAGUAUGCGGGCCUCUCGCGCGGGAAACCCGGGUUCAAAUCCCGGCGGCGGCA